This 445-nucleotide ribosomal RNA is filed under the name uncultured archaeon. Its description in RNAcentral is "bacterial SSU rRNA". It matches the Rfam family "Archaeal small subunit ribosomal RNA", at positions 1 to 450 of the family's 1478-position model. The record is from RNAcentral.
UUCCGGUUGAUCCUGCCGGAAGUCACUGCUAUCGGUGUUCGACUAAGCCAUGCGAGUCAAAUGUUCUUCGUGAACAUGGCGUACUGCUCAGUAACACGCGGAUAACCUGCCCUUAGGUCUGGCAUAACCCCGGGAAACUGGGGAUAAUUCCGGAUAGAUCAUAGAUGCUGGAAUGCGCUUUGAUCCAAAGCUAUUGUGCCUAAGGAUGGGUCUGCGGUCUAUCAGGUUGUAGUGGGUGUAAUGUACCUACUAGCCUACGACGGAUACGGGUUGUGGGAGCAAGAGCCCGGAGAUGGAUUCUGAGACAUGAAUCCAGGCCUACGGGGCGCAGCAGGCGCGAAAACUUUACAAUGCGGGAAACCGCGAUAAGGGGACACCGAGUGCCAGCAUCCUAUGUUGGCCGUCCAUAUGUCUAAAUCACAUGUGUUAGCAAGGGCCGGGCAAG